AUUGCUUUUAAUGACAGCUUUGGCAUUCUGCAUUUUAUUCUGGUUAUUACUGCAAACUGGUGGGUGAUUAAUGUGUAUUACAUUCCCUUCUAAUGUGGUUUGUCUCUUUCUUCCUUUCUCCCAAUUUGGUGUCUUAUCUAUUGUGGUGACACAAAUACUCAGAUGUUGUUUAAUUUCUGGGUUUAUUUCCUUUCCCUCUUUCAAGACCCAUCCGAUGGCAGCACCUCCUUCUUCGAGGGUUCCCAGCUCUGAUGGAAUCAUUUUGACAUUUGACCACAGACCAUUGUCUGUCUACUCCGCAUGACAGUAAGCUGCAGGAGAAUGGCCAGGUGAAUACCCAAAGGGGACUGGAGGCUUCCAGCUUGAGAGGAUCUGAGUGACCUGGCACAUCCGCCCAGAGCAUGGCUCUGAAUCAAUAGACACCUUGCCCAGGUCACAUGCAAGUGAGUGGCAAAGGGCAGUUUCCACCUGGGGGCUUUGCGUUCAGAAUUGGCUUUCUGAAAAGUGCCCCAGACUUCAUCUUUGUCAAUCCUAGGGCCUGACUCUUGGGUUCCUAGUUGAAAAACAACAGCUGUGAAUAUUAAAUGAGGCACAUGCACUGAGAUUCUUCGAUCACUGGUAUGUGUAUAAAUUUCAAUAAUAAUGGGGUUGCAUGCAUCAGACCCAUCAAUCAUUACUCCCUAUGCUGCUGAGACGUUGCUCAAUGUCAGACACAUGCUUCACAGACAUAGCCUCUGGAAUCCAGCCGCAUGGCCAAGGGCCCAUGGCCUGCACCAUGGGCAAUCCCCUUCCUUCGCCAGGCCUCAGUCUUUCUGCCUUCAAUAGGGAGGUGAAUUUGUAGUGGAUAGCCUUGCUCAGACUGUCCAGGUUUCAGAACUCUGAGUACUAAGAUGGUACAUGAGGAAACAUCAUUUCUUCACUCUGUGCAUCUGAUGCCUGCACAACUGCCUGCGUGUCGAAUUAUGUCUCACCUUCCCUAAAAGUGCCUGCAAUGGCUCCCUUGUGCUCAUUAUAGAGCAUUUGAGACCUUGCUUAAUCUGGUUGCCAAAUCUCCCCUUCUCACUCACUUUGUGGCCAACCAGUUGGGAGCCAGGUGAUAACAAGGGAGAAGGAGGGUAUUUCAGGUUGUGGACAUAGCAGGCCAGAGUAACAGCAUGCAAGAGGGGAUAGUGAGGGUGGAGGUCAGGAAGGGAGUGUCUCAUGGCUUGGCAUUUUAGGAAUUCAGCACAUUAGACUCACAGGACUGGAUGAAUGCUGACUUCAUGGCCACCUCUGAGAUUUUAUAUAAACAUUCACUGGUCAUCUCUUCUGUGCCAGGCUCUUGGCCAGGCACUAGGAAGGCACAUCAACGGCAUUAUAAACAUUGAACCACAAUAAAAGGCAAAAGAACUGUGUGCCAAGGAGAAAGAUAGGAACUAACAUUUGUAGGGCACAUACUGUGUGCUGGACACUUUACAUUCAUUUCUCUUGUGGUGGAUUGUGUUUCCAAAGAUGCCUGCAACACUAUUGCAUCCUAUAUGCUCUUUUGCGAUGUGACCAUACCACUUUCCCAUCAAGAGUUGGUGUAUAUUUCUCCUCCCCUUAAAUCUGGGUUGAUUGUGAAACUUCUAAGACUGGGCCUUGAAAGACUGUUAGCAUGUCUACUUUCCUGCUGUAAGGGCUCUUUCUUGAGGGUCAUCUAUGGCUGGCUGCCAGAGACCAUGCUGUGAGGAAGCCCAAGCUAUCAUGAGGCCAGAGGCCAUGUAGUAGAGCCCUAAUACAUCAGUUUUGUGAGUGAAGCUGUCUUGGUUGGACCAUCCACCAGCCAGGAGAAUGACCACAGGAGACACCCUGACUACCAGAAUCACCGAGGCCUGAAUCCCAAACUCACAGUAUUAUGAGCACAUAAAAUAGUUAUUUUUAUAAGCCAAUAAGUGUUGGGGCAGUUUGCUAGGCUCCAAUAGAGAACCAAAACACCUCUUUAAUUCUCCUGCAUAACCUUGAGAGGCAGGUGCUGUUAUCUCUACAGAUAAGGAAACAGGAUUGGAUCGGUGAACAGCUAGUUCAACAUCAUAUGGGAAGUCGAUGGCUGAAGUGGAUUGAAACCCAGGCCUCUGGCUGGGUGCAGUGGCUCAUGCCUGUAAUCCCAGCACUUCGGGAGCCUGAGGCAGAAGGACCACCUGAGCCCAUGAGUUCGAGACCAGCCUGGGCAACAUGGUGAGGCCUGUCUCUAUUGAAAAAAAAAAAAAAUCAAACCCAGGCCUCUGUGACCCCAAGACUUUGCCAGUUCCCUCAGUCAUGGUACUGUCACAGGGCAGCAGUGGAGCCUUUGAUUCUGCUGAGGCUCUCCCUUUGGGGAGGGCGUCUAAGCAGGAAAUAGUGGAAGACUUCUUUGCAUUCUUUUGUACCUUCUGCAUUUUGAAUCUAUUCCCCAUUCCAAAGUGAACAAAUAAAGGUAACGUUCUUAUUUACAAGAAAAUAACUGUGGUAUGUGUAUAGGUCAGGCUGGGAGUGGAGAAAUUAGAGGCGCUUCAUAGAACAGCAGCAUUUGGGUUCCGCUUAGAAUUCAGUGGUUCCCACCCCUGGCGGUACUCUGGAAUCACCUGCGGAGCUUUAGAAGUCCGGAUGCCAGGGUUCCGCCCAGAGGUGCUGUUUUAAUUGGCCUGGGGCAGGGCUUGGGCUUCAGGAUUUUUUAAAAGCCCCCUAGGUGGUUCAAAUGCGCAGCUAAGGUGGAGAGCUAGCGCUCAAUGGGGGACCAGGAUUCUGCUGGCAGUGGAAGGCUGGAGAGACGAG
RNAcentral lists this long non-coding RNA (2772 nucleotides) under Callithrix jacchus (white-tufted-ear marmoset). RNAcentral's name for it is "lncRNA (ENSCJAG00000072000.1)". The record is from RNAcentral. Lineage: Eukaryota; Metazoa; Chordata; Mammalia; Primates; Cebidae.